GUCACUGAUGUGACCGUAGUAGCGUUGGAAGACUCUGUGGUCAAUGCAUCGGCACUUGCUGUGGAGGUCACUGAUGUGACCGUCGUAGCAUUGGAUGAUUCUGUAGUUGUAGCAUCGGCACUCGCUGUAGAGGUCUCUGAUGUGACCGUCGUAGCGUUUGAAGAUUCAGUAGUUGACGCCUC
Neodiprion fabricii is the source of this 182-nucleotide long non-coding RNA. RefSeq lists it as uncharacterized. NCBI's taxonomy places the organism in Eukaryota, Metazoa, Arthropoda, Insecta, Hymenoptera, Diprionidae. The record is from RefSeq and is a predicted model, not a curated record. The transcript has 3 exons.